RNAcentral lists this ribosomal RNA (253 nucleotides) under uncultured bacterium. RNAcentral describes it as "partial 16S ribosomal RNA". It matches the Rfam family "Bacterial small subunit ribosomal RNA", at positions 524 to 776 of the family's 1533-position model. The record is from RNAcentral.
UACGGAGGGUGCAAACGUUAAUCGGAUUUACUGGGCGUAAAGCGCAUGUAGGCGGGUCGUUAAGUUGGGGGUGAAAUCCCGAGGCUCAACCUCGGAACUGCCUUCAAAACUGGCGACCUGGAGCAAGAUAGAGGCAAGUGGAAUUGCGAGUGUAGAGGUGAAAUUCGUAGAUAUUCGCAGGAACACCAGUGGCGAAGGCGACUUGCUGGAUCUUUGCUGACGCUGAGAUGCGAAAGCGUGGGGAGCAAACAGG